This 303-nucleotide ribosomal RNA is filed under the name uncultured bacterium. RNAcentral's name for it is "partial 16S ribosomal RNA". It matches the Rfam family "Archaeal small subunit ribosomal RNA", at positions 457 to 759 of the family's 1478-position model. The record is from RNAcentral.
AGCAGUAGCCGCGGUAAUACCAGCAGCCCAAGUGGUGGUCGCGAUUAUUGGGCCUAAAGCGCUCGUAGCCGGGCCGGUAAGUCCCUUGUGAAAUCGGACGGCCUAACCGUUCGGCGUGCAAGGGAUACUGUCGGUCUUGAGGCCGGGAGACGUCCGAGGUACUCCGGGGGUAGCGGUGAAAUGUUCUAAUCCUCGGGGGACCACCGGUGGCGAAGGCGUUCGACGGGAACGGGCCUGACGGUGAGGGGCGAAGGCUAGGGGAGCAAACGGGAUUAGAUACCCCCGUAGUCCCUGUCUCUUAUA